Long non-coding RNA from Lotus japonicus, 1604 nucleotides. RefSeq lists it as uncharacterized. The transcript is spliced from 6 exons. Lineage: Eukaryota; Viridiplantae; Streptophyta; Magnoliopsida; Fabales; Fabaceae. The record is from RefSeq and is a predicted model, not a curated record.
UUUCACCUUUUUCACUCUCUUCUUCCAUUACCUUUGUCGACCGUUUCUCUUCUCUGCAACGUUACUUUCUCUUCUUUGCAACUUUUACUCUUCCAUUCCAUCGUUUUCUUCUUCCAUUCCCUUUUGCUCUUCCAUUCUAACUAUAUUUUUAAAUAAUAAAUGACGUGGGAACUCAAAAUCGAAAGGCAGUGGUGAUAAAUACUCUUAUUUUGUGGUUGUUGGUUGAAAUUGAGUGAGUGGCAAUUGGAAAAUGCAAAAGCUUAAAAGAAGAUUCCAAAGUUGUUGAGUUUCAGCAAAGAAGAAGAUGGCAAGCGUGCCUUCACCUUCCCCACCUCGCCGCUCACUCCCCUAAGAACCAGGUGAAGUUCCAUCUCCGUUGCAUCAUCAGUUACAUGCUCUUUACCCUCACCAAUUGCUCCAUGAAUACUAAGGACCUAUAUUUCAAUGCAGACAAAGCCUUGGCGAGCCAUUUUCUCACCAACAUCGCAGAUGCCUAGAGUAAAGCAUAUCAAUGGAACACAUAUGAUGAUAAGGUAUAGCUGUGAUGAAAUUCUGUCGGCUCCUCACAGUUUCUCUGAAGGUAUCAUUUGUGUUUGUGGAUGUCUGUGUGUUCUAAAUCAAAUUUGGUUCCUUUAUCAGAGAUUGGGAUUCAUUGUUUUGCUAUGGAUAUGCACAAUAUUAGGGGGAGGGUCUGAAGCUUUGUUUUCUUUAAUAUAUCUUCUUCAUAGUUUUGAUUCCUUUGGCUACAAAUGUUAAAUUACAAAACAUAAUAGAAAAAAUAACCAAACUAGAUGGUAAUGGUGAUUAAUUAAUUAUUUGGUUAAUCUGUGGAGGGUUAAAAACAACAUUUCCUAUAGAAAAGAGUUUGGAAUGUUAUAUAACUGAGUAAAUAAUGCUGAUAAUUGGCCUGUAAGAGUAUAGUGACACAUCUUAAAUAAAUAAGACUUGAAGAUCAGCAAAAGAGAGAUGACAUUGCAAUUUUGCAAUCCCCAUGUCCUAUAUCAUCCAUCAAAUUCUAUUAUUUGCCCCUCCCAAUGGAAUGAAAAUAUACGCUCCCUCAAAUGAACUCUUUGUUAAUUAGUUUUCUCUAUUAUUUGAGAAAGAAAAAUGGUCCAUCAAGCUUCAUGGCCCCAAGUGUUGAUGAAGUAGCUGAUCUGAAUGCCUCUUUAAAAGAAGAUCUCUGAUGGUCCAUUGGAAUGGUAUGAAUGGCUUCCAAGUUCCAUCCACAAAUUCUUCGCUUUGCCCACGUCUUAAAAUUCUGAUAGAAGAAUGUUUACUGCUCUUUUGGUUUCGAACCUCUCCUAGAAUAUUUAUUGCUGCUCUUCUUCCUUGAACCAUGCUUUUCCCUGCCACUUUUCCCCGCAAGCUUGCUUUGUACAAUUUGGAAUCAUGUCUUCGUGCACCAUUGAGUCUGAUCUUGAUAUGCUGAGUUAAGGGUUUAUGGUAUUUCCCGCGAAUAUAUAUGGUUAGAGUUGUGCCUAGGAUUGAGGGUUGAUGGAACACCGUAUUUGAUUCUGAUAAUGGUACAUUGCUAAAAGUUUGCUGCUAAUUUUGAUUGGUACAUUGCUAAAGUUUUAUUAUCUACAUGAUCUAGAUUUUGAUCA